Molecule: long non-coding RNA, 5307 nt
Organism: Sapajus apella (tufted capuchin)
Lineage: Eukaryota; Metazoa; Chordata; Mammalia; Primates; Cebidae
Exons: 2
Source: RefSeq, a predicted model, not a curated record
GAGAAUCCUGUCUCUACCAAAAAAAAUAAAAUAAAAAUAAAAAAUGAAAAAUAGCCAGGUGUGGUCAUGAGCCUACAGUGCCAGCUAUAGGCUGAGGUGGGGGUAUCCCUUGAGCCCAGAAGGUUGAGGCUGCAGUGAGUCAUGAUUGUUCCACUGUACUCCAGUCUGAGUGGCAGAGCUAUACCUUAUCUCAAAAACAAAACAAUGCAAAAAAGAUCUGAUUACAAGGAAACACUAACAAUGAUAAAAAUGAAAUAUUACCACUAUAAAACAUGUUCUCAUAAUAAAUGGUAAAUAAGCAUUGAUUUAUUAAAUAUGGCUCCAUUAAACUUCUACCAUUUGUCCUUUUUUCUCAUAUAUUUGGUUCAUUAUCACAUAGCUUUUGAUUUGGAGAAACAGAAGAUCUUUUUGUAUGAGGUCUGAUGAAUCAAUAGUAGCAUAUUUCUUCAUGGCAGGCAUAUUACUGGAAUGGUAGUCUUUCUGUAAACAUCACCAUGGGUUUCCUUUUUCUACUGUAAAAUGCAUUAAAAUAGGCAUGCAAAACUAGAUGAAACAAAGAAAAUAAAACACAUGGUCCAGAAAAUUGUGGGGAUCAGGGAAUAUAUACCUGACACUUUGUUUAAUCCUGUGAAAGAAAAGCACCAUGUGGAUGGCUACAGCUAUCCUGGCAUUUCCUCAUGUGGGUAACCAUUUUCAAUUUCUUGAAAAGAGCCUUGCAGGAAACAUCAAUGGGUACGGAGUAAGUAUAGAUAAAAACAGAAUUCACACUAGGCAAUAAUCUUAGCUAAGUCUUUUGCUAGGAUGACCAUGUGCCAGACAGGCUUUUAAGCACUACACAUAUAAACUCAGUAAGUUUCUAUAACAAUUCUAUGAAGUCAGCGCUAGUAUUAUUCUUAUCCUACAGAUGAGGAAAGUGAGGCACUUGCUUUACUUGCCAAGGUCACACAGGUAGUUAGAGAGGGAACAGACUGGCCCAUAUCCAUGUGAACCCCAUGUGACGACAUCUCGAGGAUGCUGUCAUUAACAAAGUGGUUUUAUUCUCGACUGUUUCACAGACUUGGGGUCAAUGAGAUAGAUUCACUUAAUCACUCACAAUGUAUUAGACACCACCUUUAUGUCAAACAUUGCUAGGCACUGUGCAAGAUGCAAAAAAAUGAAACAGUUGAAUUAUUUUCUGGCAGAAAUUGUUCAAGCAUCAGAGUUGUGCAUAGUCCCUUAUUUUCUCAUGUGCUUGGAAUAAUAUAUGUUCAAUUCAGUUAAAUUUAGUUCAGUUCAAUUUAAUGCAACUACAUUUAUGAAGCAUCUAUGAAGUUCUUGGCAGUAGGUAUAGAAUGAUAAAUAGUCCAGCCCUAGACUUCACUGAACUCACCCUCAGUGAACAGGACAGACACAAAUAAGUAAAUAACUCAAAGAGAAGGCAGCAUGUUAUAAGAAAGGGAGAAUCAAAGUUCCGUGAGAAUGCAGGCUGAAAGUUGUAAAAGUAAUUGUUAGAGAAGUGUGUGUGUGUGUGUGUGUGUGUGUGUGUGUCAGAGAGAGAGAGAGAAGAAGGGAGGGAGAAAGAAUAUUUAAAUUUUGCCUUGGAUGAGCUGGAAUUUGCUAAGCAGAAAAAGGGUAGAGGAUAGAGAGGAGAGAAGAGAGGGAAGAUGGAGGAGCUUAAUUUAGGACCAAGGCUGUGAAGACACCAUCAUUUAAGCUAAAUAGUUAAAUUUUAUUAUGUUUGAAGUGGACAGCACUGGCAGGAUUUAAAAAGGUAGCACCACGAUCAAGAUAUGUCUGAAGUAGCCAACUCUGGUAUUAGUUGAAAGCUGAACUGAAGAAAAAAGAGACUGGCCAAAAAGUGCUCAUUAAGAAAAGAGUUUCUGUGUUCUUCAAAAUUUCUGUCUUACCACCCAAGCCCUCUUAUAUGAAUUUUCUGUAAUCAUAGGAAAAAAGCUGCCAAAUAGUAAAUCUAUUUGAGGAUACUGAUCCGUUGCUAACUCCACUGAGAGUCAUUUAAUCUAGUUUUGGAUAUUUUUAUACACAUAAUUUAGAUGUUAACAUCUAGAUAAUGAUUCCUGGUCCUAUAUUGGUGAAAACAAAAUUUCUCAGUGUGUCUGUGUACAAAUCCUGGCUCCACCACUAAUGAGUAUGUGACAUUUGGGAAGUUACGUGAACUAUCUUAGGCUUUUCAUUUGUUGACCUGGGAAAGCAACAGUAACUAUUUCAUAAGCUGUUAUGAAGAUUAAACUGCUUAGGGCAGUGUUGGCCCAUGGUCCCCAUUUUAUAAGCAUUUACUAAAAUUAUCCCUAAGCAUAAUUCUGUAAGAUCGUCUAAAUUUCUUUUUUAUCAACAACUUUGAGAAAUUAGAACUUGUUUAAAUAAACCAAGGCAAAACAGAAUGAAAGACUCAGAACAGUAACUGUUACAUGUUAGAGUACAUUUGCUAAAAAUAUGUAAUAACUCCUUACAUACCAAGAAACCUAAAAAGCUGCAAGUAUAUUUAUGAAUCAUGUUAUUCUCUGAGUAACAUAUUUUGAUCUAUCAUUUCUCUUUACUUACCUGACAAAUGAUCAGGUAGUAUCAGAAGAAAAGAACAGUCACAAAAGACUGACAUUCUUGGCUAAGAACCAGUAUAACAUCUACAUAAAGUAUGUUCUACCAAGAACAUAGACUUUGAUUACAUUUUACUUCUAAAUUGGAAGACAAUCUAUUAGGAGAAAAAAAAAAACUUAUCUAAACCGAGACAAAUGAAUUCCAUUUAGUUCUACGUUCUUUUCAGUCUGUAAUGUACCAUCACAGUGCCUUGGGAAGUAGUCAAGUCCUACAAAUCCAUUCGCCCCAGAAAAUUUUUCUCAUGAAAUGUGCUCUUAUAUAGUUACCACCUGAGAUGAUCCAAAGUAUUUGCAUACAUUUCAAAUUUUCAUUCUCAUGAUAAUUUUUCACUGUUUGAUUACUUAAUUUUGUUCUCAUUGUCAAAGCCCACUUCUGUACAGGAUUCUUAACCCAGUAAGUAAAUAGAAGGCAAUAGUUUCUGUUAUAAAUUUUACGGCUUUUUUAAGGAAAGUAGUGUUCCGAGGUAUUUUCUCCCAUGUCUCUAAUGCUGAAAGAUUGGAAUAGAAGCCGAAAUUCAAAGGCAGAAACUCAGUCAGAAGCUGGCAUUUUGCCUGUGACUUGGUGAACCUGUUAAAUAAUAUUUGAGGUAAAACAGAUACCAACUAUAUCAAACAUAGUGAAGGAAUAAGUUCAGAAAAUGUGUUUUUGGUCUGGUCAAAGUUUUUGGUCUGGACAGAGUACUGGCUCUGUCCACAAAUAGGUUGAAAGCAAUGAAGGACAGGAACAUUCACUAGUCCUAUAAGCAUUUUCAGUCUUUCUUGUUGAAAACCACUGGUGGAGACAUUGAGAGAAGGUAAACACAAUGCGUGUGUCCAAGGAUCUCUACGCUUACCUUACAGACAAAUGUUAUAGUUCAUGGUUUUGUACAAGAUAUUUUUCUGCUGUUAUUUUUAUUUUAAGUGUGGCUUUUUGGAUUCUAAAAACCAUAUAACAAGGUGCUGCAGUUCCAGUCCAGUUUGAAUCUUGCCUCACAGAGCUUAAGAACAAGUGACAGCAUACCUUCUUGAAUAGAAAAUCAGUAACCUACAGACUGCUCAGAGAGGGUUUCCCAGGACUUGUCCUGUCUCUAUUCUUUGGCUACUCCCAAUUUCAGGGCUAGAGGAAAAAAUUUUUCUGUGAAGAACGGCAGUGUAGAUUCUGCAAUGAGAUAUUUGUGAACAGAUGUUUCCUUUCUACCACUUCCAUGACUUUCCAAAGGUCAGAUAUUGAUGUUUCCCUGGGGGGAGUGUAAUUAUGCUUUCAUCAGAUUGACAUGGAGAGAGAGAAUCAGGCUUUUAGAGUUUUACAAAGUUACAAAGCUGGUGGGUCCGCUUUUCCUGUUAAUUUGUGAAACAUGGGAAGAUAAUUUUUAAACCUUUAUAUACCUCUUAGAUAGCAUUUUCAAUGAAUUUGCUCUUUUGAUAGCUAUAAUGAUCAUAUAAUUUUUAUAAUAAUUAAUGUAUCUGGAAAAGAAAAAGGAAAGGUGAGAUUUGUCAAAUUUACAUAAUGGAUUGAAAGGUGCUAACAGAAUAAACAUUGAAGAAGAUGAUUUAAAAUUGCAGCAUAUUGUCAUCAUCCUAUCAGCAAACAUAUCUUUUUAAUUAUAAAAAUCCCAAAUGACAAAACCAUGAUUUUUGAUGCUGUAAUUCAUUUAGAUUCUCUUUUAUGGCUGAAAGCUUUGUAAACGACAUUAUGGACAUACGAAAUCUAUCACCACUCUGGGGAAUGGAUGAUGCCACUUCCUAUCACCAAGUUAAAAACAACAACAACAACAACUUAUAGUGCCUUUUUAGUUGAAGUAGAAUUGUAAUGAAAGCCACCUGUUAAUUAAUUUUCAAAAUAAAUGACUACUCAGCUAGUGAAAACAUCUCAACAUAAUUAUCAAGUUCAACAUCAUAAAAUGAAUGUGACAUUAAAUAAGCAUUGUAGGCUACAUUUGGAGUAGCACUUUGACACACAUUUUGAGACAUUUAUGAACUAAGAGUCCUUUCAAAACUCUUUCCAGUGCAUUUCUUUGCUCUUUUGCCUAGACCUUCUAAUUAAAACAGAAGCCAGUUAUAUUUCUUUCCUCCAAGAGUCUAAAAACCCAGUGGAGGGUCAGCCUAACAUUUUACUUUGCUGAAACAAGCUUGUCAAGUGGUGACUACAUAGCAAUGAAUGUAAUUGUUUCAUUUUAGGUGUAAUAAUAUCAUUUUAAAGGAAUAUCAGAAGUUACCGUCUGAUCAUUUUGAAGCGAUAUCUAGUAGUAGUAUUUUAUACUAAGUGAGUGGUUUGGUUAGGUAUGGCUUUGUAAGGUAUUAAACAUCUAAGUGAAAAAUCAAGACCAUGAUUAGAAUUUUUUACUAGCAAAUUCUAUUCACUAAAACAGAGGGUGAUUUAGGUAUGUAGAUACAAUUGAAAGAGGAAAGUGAAAGUCAAAGUGAAAAACCUAUUUUUUUCUCACUGAAAAAAUCAACAUCUGAGAUGUGUCGUAAUCAUAGAUUUUACAAUCACAAACUAAUCUUAAAUGUGUAUAUGAUACUCUGCUAAAAUAUCAUAAGAACAAGGCUUGCCAAUGUAAUAUUAAAGGAAAAUGUGUCAGCUUAUAAUGUCAAUUAUUAAACAAAUAAGAAGUCAUUUUGACAAGGGGUUGUGUUGUGUUUUGAAGGCCUUGUACUAAUCGAUCCCAGUCUUUCUCUUGAAAGGACAGCUAAUGUCAAAUUUAUUGUAAGAAAAGUUACUUUUCAUAGUUUCAAU